This 528-nucleotide long non-coding RNA is filed under the name Elaeis guineensis (African oil palm). Its description in RNAcentral is "long non-coding RNA (EGUI_LNC069282)". The record is from RNAcentral. Lineage: Eukaryota; Viridiplantae; Streptophyta; Magnoliopsida; Arecales; Arecaceae.
AUGAGAUUGACCACUCCAAGAGUUGGAGAAGAAUGAGUCACUGUAUUUCAAUUUAGCAAAACCUUGGCCAGGGUAAUCCAUAAGAUGGAUUUGAUAUUUUGAAAUACAAUGUGGAUAACCUGAUCAGAGUUGACAAUUGAACUCUGAGAUGUCCUAUGAUCAUUUUGGUCAAGGGGAUAAAUUAUAUGAAAACUAUAUCCGCAUGGGUUCUAAGGAUGUUGUUCUACACAUUCGACCUAUCCGGUCGUCGGGUACCAUUGCUAGAUGGUCACUUCGAUUGGUACAGAAAUUUAUUCCUGUGCUACUGACUUAGGUUCGGACCUAUGAGGUUACACAUAUUAGAGUUCAUGAUCCGAUCGGAUGGUUGAUCAACGAUUAAGAAUCGUUCUAGGAUUAAAUGAUCAAUACGAUUGACAUUUAACCCAGUGCAAGUGUUGCAGGAGGAUCGAUUAGCAAUUUGAUUGCUAAUUGGCUUAAUUUGAUUAAGCCAAUGGGUUGAAAUUAAGUCUAUUUAAAUAUAAUUUAAUU